UGCUCAGCCCCAACACCCAUGUAUAAAUUUUACACUGUUGGAAAAGGAUUAUAAGUGGAAGGAGAUCCUUAAUUUCCCCAGAGCCUGUAAGCUCCCAAAGAAGAUGCUAAUAGCACUGUGCCUUCUUGACGCCCUGACUGUACCAAGCACAGAUUGCUGAAGAUUAAAAGACCACUGGAAGUUCAGACAGCUCUAUUCCCAGAUGAAAAGGAUGUACAGAGAUCAAAGGAAGAAAUGUUUGCUGUAAACUGGAGGGUGAAAUGCCUUCUGGGCUUGGAAGACAGACCACAAACCCAGAAAUGGAU
Hyaena hyaena (striped hyena) is the source of this 305-nucleotide long non-coding RNA. RefSeq lists it as uncharacterized. The record is from RefSeq and is a predicted model, not a curated record. The transcript is spliced from 2 exons. NCBI's taxonomy places the organism in Eukaryota, Metazoa, Chordata, Mammalia, Carnivora, Hyaenidae.